ACUUAACAUAACAUAGUAAAUAUACAAAAGAAGAUGUGGUAUGAUUACCAAUGAGACAACUGUCCACAAGAGCCCAAAUGAACCAGAAAUUAACAACUAUAGGUCACCUUAUGGCCUUCAUCAAUGAGCAAAGCCCAUACCGCAUAGUCAGCUAUAAAAGGCCCUGAAAUGACAUAUGUAAAACAACUCGAGCAAGAAAACUAACGGCCUAAUUUAUGUACAAAAAUGAAUGAAAAACAAAACACAAAAACACAUGAACAAACAACAAGCACUGAAUAACAGGCUCCUACUCCUAGCUGACUUCAGACAGGCACAUACAUAUAGAAUGUGGCGGGGUUAAACAAGUUAGAUGCUGACUCAAGACAAUAAUAAUAUUAGCCUUUCCAUCCAUUCUGCCUCAAUUCAAAAAAAUUUGAACUGUAUUGUCCUCUUUGCAAUAAUAAAAGCA
This 448-nucleotide long non-coding RNA is filed under the name Mytilus galloprovincialis (Mediterranean mussel). Lineage: Eukaryota; Metazoa; Mollusca; Bivalvia; Mytilida; Mytilidae. The record is from RNAcentral.